This 72-nucleotide transfer RNA is filed under the name Nephroselmis astigmatica. RNAcentral's name for it is "tRNA-Thr". It matches the Rfam family "tRNA". From Rfam's summary of the family: Transfer RNA (tRNA) molecules are approximately 80 nucleotides in length. Their secondary structure includes four short double-helical elements and three loops (D, anti-codon, and T loops). The record is from RNAcentral. Lineage: Eukaryota; Viridiplantae; Chlorophyta; Nephroselmidophyceae; Nephroselmidales; Nephroselmidaceae.
GCCUGCUUAACUCAGUGGUAGAGUAUCGCUCUUGUAAAGCGAAGGUCGUCGGUUCAAAUCCGACAGUGGGCU